Cervus elaphus (red deer) is the source of this 299-nucleotide long non-coding RNA. RefSeq lists it as uncharacterized. Lineage: Eukaryota; Metazoa; Chordata; Mammalia; Artiodactyla; Cervidae. The record is from RefSeq and is a predicted model, not a curated record. The transcript has 3 exons.
UGGAGAAAGGAGAUUAGAGAUUUGACAAUUCUGGACAUUCCAUACAAAUGAAAUCACACAAUAUGUGGCUUUUCCUGCCUGGCUUCUUUCACUUGAAGUUUAUCCACGUCAUGGCAUGUAUCAGUACCCAGUUUCUUUUUUUUUUCCCAGUUUCUUUUUAAUUGCUGAAUAAUAUUCCAUUGUCUGGAUAUGCCACAUUUUGUUUAUUAUUUAUGGGUAUUUGACUUGUUUUGAUUUCUAGCUGUUACAAAUAAUGCCACUAUAAACAUCUGUUUACAAGUUGUGUGGAUGCAUUUUCA